AAGAUUUCUUUGGCAUCAAGUCUUCAUUUGAGCCGUAUUGAUUUGGCACAAUCAAAGGGGCACCGGUUUUGAUACUUCUCCGAGCUGUGGGACCCCUUUUCCUACUCUCUUCUUAGGCUGUGAAGACUUCACCAGAGACCGCUCAUAGUCCGAAAGUGCUGGCUUUUUCUGAGCUUCGCGUUGCUUCUUUUGCUGGUCCGCCACCUUCUAUCUUAGUUCUGAUGGCUUUAUAUAAAAGUACGG
Molecule: long non-coding RNA, 243 nt
Filed under: Sorghum bicolor (sorghum)
Lineage: Eukaryota; Viridiplantae; Streptophyta; Magnoliopsida; Poales; Poaceae
Description: long non-coding RNA (SBIC_LNC012025)
Source: RNAcentral